RNAcentral lists this long non-coding RNA (741 nucleotides) under Cricetulus griseus (Chinese hamster). Its description in RNAcentral is "lncRNA (ENSCGRG00015012520.2)". The record is from RNAcentral. Lineage: Eukaryota; Metazoa; Chordata; Mammalia; Rodentia; Cricetidae.
GGCACCGCUGGCCUGUUUACCGAGCUGUGCAGGCGAGCGCCGGCGCCCUCUACUGGACGGAAGUAAAUGUCCCUCUGAGUGUAACUAUUGUCGCCUGUGGAUGAGCUAAUGGAUUCACUUUGAGCUCGUAGAAAGGACACGGUGUCGUGGGGAUCCCAGGCAGUCCUCUGACAUCUGACAUACCGCCAGCUUGCCUAAGGAUGUUAUUUCUUUGAGGGGGGGAUUUGCUCACCCAGGAGGAGAUUUGAUGGUACUUACGGACUGGGGCUUCACUCCGCAUCUGCCUCUCCGUGAGAGCCUGUCUCCCCAGGCUGGCUGGUCCUCAGGACACAGGUGCUGCUGUUGUGGCUGCGUGCAUCCUAUGUGUGGCGACUCCACCUUCCAGCUAAAAUCCCAGCAAAGGGUCUCAUCCGGAGGCCCCGGGGCACACUUCUUUCAUCCGUGUGCCUUCCCUCGUUCUCUCGGGGUCCAGAGCAGCGAGGAAGGAAUGAAGAACCUGGGUCUGCCACCGUCUGUCGGUCCUCACCGCUGCAUCUCAGCUAAGGCUGCAGAAGUCAGUGCAGUAGCGGAACUGGCUAGGGCUCCUCGCGGUUGCCACGGUAACCAGGAGCAGGCUCCUGCCCUGGUGGCGGAGGAAGGCUGUGGAGAAAAGAGUUUGGCACACAGGAUCCAUCCCUACUUGAGACCUUGAUGAGCACUGGAUGAGUUGCCAGUGUGACUUCGGCACUGACAGGAUUGGCG